This 80-nucleotide transfer RNA is filed under the name Blumeria graminis f. sp. tritici. It matches the Rfam family "tRNA". From Rfam's summary of the family: Transfer RNA (tRNA) molecules are approximately 80 nucleotides in length. Their secondary structure includes four short double-helical elements and three loops (D, anti-codon, and T loops). The record is from Rfam by way of RNAcentral. RNAcentral also lists the same sequence under 1 other name. Lineage: Eukaryota; Fungi; Ascomycota; Leotiomycetes; Helotiales; Erysiphaceae.
GGGUGCUUGGCGCAAUGGUAGCGCGCGGUCCUCCUACUCGGAUAAGACUGAGGUUGAGGGUUCGAGUCCCUUGGUGCUCG